AGGCUGAAACCCGCCUGUAUGAAGUUGGAAUCGCUAGUAAUCGCGGAUCAGCAUGCCGCGGUGAAUACGUUCCCGGGCCUUGUACACCACCGCCCGUCACACCAUGAGAGUCGGGAACACCCGAAGUCCGUAGCCUAACUAGCAAUAGGGGGCGCGGCCGAAGGUGGGUUCGAUAAUUGGGGUGAAGUCGUAACAAGGUAAC
This 202-nucleotide ribosomal RNA is filed under the name uncultured bacterium. Its description in RNAcentral is "partial 16S ribosomal RNA". It matches the Rfam family "Bacterial small subunit ribosomal RNA", at positions 1302 to 1500 of the family's 1533-position model. The record is from RNAcentral.